UACGUAGGGUGCAAGCGUUGUCCGGAAUUACUGGGCGUAAAGCGUGCGCAGGCGGUUCUGAAAGUCAGCUGUGAAAGCCCCGGGCUUAACCUGGGAAUUGCGGUUGAAACUACAGGGCUAGAAUCUGGCAGAGGGGGGUGGAAUUCCACGUGUAGCAGUGAAAUGCGUAGAGAUGUGGAGGAACACCGAUGGCGAAGGCAGCCCCCUGGGCUGAGAUUGACGCUCAGGCACGAAAGCGUGGGGAGCAAACAGG
RNAcentral lists this ribosomal RNA (253 nucleotides) under uncultured bacterium. RNAcentral describes it as "partial 16S ribosomal RNA". It matches the Rfam family "Bacterial small subunit ribosomal RNA", at positions 524 to 776 of the family's 1533-position model. The record is from RNAcentral.